RNAcentral lists this unclassified non-coding RNA (253 nucleotides) under uncultured Anaerolineae bacterium. RNAcentral's name for it is "contains 16S-23S intergenic spacer region". It matches the Rfam family "Bacterial small subunit ribosomal RNA", at positions 524 to 776 of the family's 1533-position model. Lineage: Bacteria; Bacillati; Chloroflexota; Anaerolineae. The record is from RNAcentral.
AACGUAGGACACAAGCGUUAUCCGGAGUUACUGGGCGUAAAGGGCGUGUAGGCGGAGCUAUAAGUCUAUUCUGAAAGCUCCUGGCUAAACUGGGAGAGGCGAAUGGAGACUGUAGAUCUAGAGUAAGGAAGAGGAAAGUGGAAUUCCGCGUGUAGUGGUGAAAUGCGUAGAGAUGCGGAGGAACACCAGUGGCGAAAGCGACUUUCUGGUCCUUAACUGACGCUGAGGCGCGAAAGCAUGGGGAGCGAACGGG